Photinus pyralis (common eastern firefly) is the source of this 4672-nucleotide long non-coding RNA. RefSeq lists it as uncharacterized. The record is from RefSeq and is a predicted model, not a curated record. The transcript is spliced from 3 exons. Lineage: Eukaryota; Metazoa; Arthropoda; Insecta; Coleoptera; Lampyridae.
UAUUUGCAUUUGUUUGAUUUCCAUUUUGUUGGAAUUAGUAAUCAAUCGAUUCGGAUCUGUUGUGUGUCUAAUGCUCCUUAGUCCUUAUCCCUUGACCUUCGCCACGUCGAAAAUUGUUCUACAUACUAAUCAUUUACUGAAUUUUACAAAAAUGUACUCAGAAUUUUCUGAAUCUACCAAUAAUUUACUGAAGUUACAAAAAAAAACCAAGUACGCCCAGGCAAAUAUUUCAAAUCCUGCUCAUUGCUCUUCAGCUUCAAUAGCCAUAUUAGGAGAUUUGAACGAACAUCUUAAAAUUGUGAAGAAAAUGGCAUCGAUAAAAUUAAGUACCUACCGUAAAACAGAAACGGAAUUAGAAAUUAUACAAACUAUGCAGAUACGAUACUUACAUAUUUUAUGAACUAAUUGCGCAAUGAAGAGUGUUUUUUCAUCGAAUACAUACACCAAAACAUAAAAACAGCUUACUGGAAAAACCGAGGGAAAAACCUUAAAUUAAAAAUUUCUUUAAUUUUGUUACCCUAAUAUUCGUUUUUUCUGUAGGUGUUUGAAAAACAUGCAUACUUUUAUUGUUUCGUUGAAAAAUAUUAAAAUCGCCUGGAGGCCGCCAUGGAAUUUUUAUGUUAGUGUACAACAAGUGAAAUUAGUAUUCGAAUUAGAGGAAGUAAUGGAAUUAGCCGUGGAAUUAUUCGUAAUGGUACUGGAGUAUAUGUGAUAUGACUGCAUUAAUGUAGACCAAAAUUGGUCGGUCCAAAUAGAGCUAAAAAAACCUUUUUUGGACAUAGCGAUUUGAUUGUUCGAUAUGUGAGACCCCUUAAUAAUUUGUACAGACGGCACCCUGUAUGACAUUCAGUUCUCGAGAUAUUCGCACUUCCAAGUCAUCGCCAAUACAUAUGUUUCGUCCAAACGUUCCUAUCGCCUUUUUUUUCACCCCACGAAUAGAUGUCCCGUCCAGCGAUUUCAUUUUUUCUUUGUGCGUACCCUGCCCCCGACACUCCGUUCUCGAGAUAUCUUCCCUACCAUAGAUCUCGAUAAUGGGGUCUGGGGGAAGGAAUGUGGUUGGUAAAAAUUAAUUCCUGUCGUUGAGACCUUUCAUUCACGAGGAUGAAUUGUUAAUUAUACGCACUAAAAGAAAAAUUGCAACAAUUAACUACAUUUACUAAAGAUGCGAUAAACAAUAUGAAAUUUCCGAAAGUAUCAAUAAAACCGACAUUACCAAGGAACAACAACAAUUACAACAAAAUUGCUGAGUGAUCAAUCCUUUGAUCUUUGCAUUCCUUAUUCUUUUGUACGACGGUGACUUUAAAAUAUGAUGUUUCAUUCCUUCGUAUUUCACUAAGUGUUAAUUUAGGAAAACGGCAGUAAUGCGUUUUGAUACUCCAGCUGCAAAAUUUACCACUGGAUUGUAGUUUGUAGUGGAUUAUCAGUUACCCUGAUCGAAGAUUUUGGAACCACGUAAAAAUGUAAUAUAUACCACUUAAUUAAUAACGUGCCUUUUCCAAGCCCUUAAUUACAAAUUUCGUGUAUUACUUAUUUAUCGGACGGAUGUAUCGGACACGGCGUGCGGUUACUUCGAUAUUUUACACGUUUUCGUACUUUAGGUGUAAUUUGUGUAUUUUCUCAUAGCAAUUUUGAAAAGGAGAAUAAGAAAAUUUAGGUCGCCCUUAUUUAUGUAAACCGUCGCUAGUAGGGUAGGUAAGAGAUAGGUAACGAAAUUUAUUAAAAAAAAAACCCUCUAAACUUCAUUCUAGAUUCUCCUACCCGGGACCCUUGUUUACCUGUAAAUGGUCAUGGGGUCUUAAAUAUCUUAGAAAUCAUUGUUUAAUCCCGUCCUAAUAACCCUAACGGAAUUUUGUGUCUAUAUUACGCACAUGUUCUAAAAGCAUUUUAAUCUCUGUAUGUUACAGCAGCACCACAAGGUAUAAUGUUUGAUUACCUACGUCCACAUUUGUCGAAUAAACUAAACACACCACCAUUAACGAGUAGUAGGUCUACAUCAGUGCAUGUAUUAUUAAUCUUGUUCUGUGAGUUUGUAUCACUGUGCGAUAAAGCGUCACACUCCCAAAAGCGGGCUAACGCGUAUUUAUCAUAUCACAAUGAAUAAAAUAAUAAAGUGGGAAUGAGCAUCAGAGACUUUCCACAGCAUUAUUUAUUCGAAAAUUAAUUCUAAACUUUAUUCAAAUACUCAGAUAUGUCGCCCAAAUGGGGCUGAUUACAGAAAAGUAUAAACAAAAAAAGACGAGGCCCAUAUUUUAGACAUACGGAGUGUUUAAUCAAAGUGGUGUUUCCACUGGAACAUCCUGUAUUCUUUUAAGUAUUUAAAAAUUGAAUUUAUUAACUCAAAGCGAGACUCAAAGUAUAUUUCGCUAAGAUUUUGUUUGAAAGAAAUAGUCUCAUUUUCGAAUAUAGAAGAACAAAACAAUAUUAAUUUAUUACGAAAUUACCUAUACAAUAAAUAAAUUAUAAGAAACCAGCGGUCGAUCAAAUGAGAUGUUAAUUAAUGUGACCUUUAUGUUGAUUUGGGCAGGCUUGAUUUCGUGUGCAAAAUGACUUAUAUUUUAAUUUUUGGAGAUAAUUCAUGGCAUUGCCUCGCGUAUUCUUGGUUUGAUAUUCUCUUUGUUCGUACAGAAUAAUAAUACCUUGUCUUAUACAAAAAUCCAACUUUAGUCAGUGUGAACAUCUAUCGGAAUAACGACCAUGACAUCCUCGACUGAUACAGCAUUUUGUAAACUUUUGUAGGUCGUUGUUUGCUGGAUUUUUGAGUGUGCGAGUUCUUAUAAGUCCCUAUCUGAUGUGAAAGGGUUCAAUUACGUAAUGGUACACUAAAUUUUCUUAUAAUUCAGCUUGAUACUUUAAUUUUUAUUUAGAAAAACCUCCCUCUAAGCCACUAUCCUAUUCGCAUGGUAUAUAAAAGCGUGAUUUGGGGUUUUUGGGGGGCGCUCAUUUUGCGUAUUUGGCUCGAAAAGAGGAUAGUAGCAUUGUUAUCGCACCAUGAAUAAGUACUUGAGACCACGUUUUUUUCGCAGCGGAAGCCAUCAGAACUGAUUACAUAAUUUGAAUAUAAUACAAUCAAUUGAAGUUAUAUUUAAACUAAAUAACAAGAUAAUAGAAAAAAGAUAUUGUCUGAUAUGUACGGCUUUCUAGAAAAUAAGUUCAUUUUACCAAGAAUUGUUUUACUUUGUGAUAAGCUAAUAGUUAAUCGGUAAACAACGAAAGGUGCUAGGAAAUCUUACUUUGAUAAGCAUUUUCGUGCUCAACUUUUCUAUAAAAGGUGCAUUUUGUAAUGCUUCAACCUGUAGGACCGAGAUUCUGUUACUUUUCAUCAGGUAUUACUUUUGCCUUUUUUGUCCACACAAAAGGGCGUUGUAACUUACAGAAUUAGUAAUAGUUUGUAUUAACACUCACAAAAUUGAAGAGCUAAGAUAACGUUUGAUAGUGUAUCACUCUCAUGCGAUAAUACCUACAUAUUUAGUGUAACUAUGACUACUAUGAGUAAGACAUUGGUGAAUCAGUAAUUCAAAUAAGUAUAGAGUACCUAAUUAGUUUCAUCCCCUGUUGACCUGACAAACCAUUCGUAAUCCCGAUAUUUAAGGAGGAAAUAAACACGGCAGAUGGUUACAUAGUUCCCAAAAUAGUGGUGUCCAAUACUACGACUUACCAGUAGUCAUUCCAUUCUCGAAAACCUCGAAUUCGGAGUAAAUCGGUUUCCUAUUCGACGAAUUGUGUUGUUUACUAAUUCAAGCAUUGUUUGUUCAUUCUAAUUAGGAAAUUGCCUGUGAUGGCUUCCAUUAAUGAAUCAUUACAAAGCAAAAAUGAGAUCUAUUCAGCACGUUACCUAAAUUUAAAUGUUUAUGUAUCAUACCCUUAUUAACACAAACGCAUUUCCACACUAUUUAUACUUUCCUCUAACGUUGCGUAAUAAAAUAAAAAUGUCGGAAUUAUUUCACUAUAUCUUACUCAUCAUAAGUCUUUCUAUUUGGCUCAACUUAGUCACUAUCUAUGGUUUGUAUUUACUACGAAUCGUUGGACCUUUUUGGGAGAUCACGUAUUUACCUCAUCUUUAUUGGAAAUGGGUAUGCUAAUAUUUUUAUACUUCGAUAAUUGAAACAUUUUCAAGCACGCAAUUUUACAAAUGCCCAAAGUCUCUUUAUUCUUGAUAAAUCGGUAUAUUUGUCUGAGAAGUAAAUAUUAAACAGUUUCCUUGUUCUAUUGCACCAUAUUCGGUUACCUGUAUUGUAUAAGAUACCUUUGUCUAUAAAAUAGGAUUUUCAAAAUUAUGUAAGUACAGAGCUGGGUAGUGCUUGCAUUAAAGGUGCAUAUAAAUUACUCCGAUUUACUCAAAAAAGACCCCCGUUUGCAAACACUGAGGGCUUGCAAGCACGCUGGGUGCUUUCGAGCACUGAAUUUAGAUAUCAAAUGUAUGUCCAUUGAUUGCUUUCUUGUUUUUCUGCAUCCUAAAAAUCGUAUGUCGUAAUAUUCGAACUUGAAGGGAUAGUUUGAAUAAGAAAGACGAAGACGAAACAACGAAACUAAUAGCGCUACUUUCCCUUAUGAACAUGCGCUAAAUGAAAAUGUAUAAGAAUGAUUUUUACCUUACAAAUCAUUUGUACAGGGUGUAAAUCGAAAAGUGGAACAUAGGCGUUUAACAUGGGAAAUUACUUUUUCUUUGCGCAAA